AACAAAGAGAGAAAGAAGCCUAUCUCAUGCUCUUCUCUCCAGGAGAAAUUAUUGAAUUAUUUAUCCUGAACCCACAAUCUCAUGGUUAUACUUACAGGAUAAAAAUAUAUGUAUAUAUCUUAAGUCCCUCUCUCAUACCCUGAGAGAAUGUGGUUACCACCUACCUCUACAAUCUUGUCUCACGUCCCCAUUCCACAUCUAGAGGUGUGAGCCCUUCAUCUCCAUCAAGACCUUGCCCCUUGGUCCCCUCACAAGUAGAUGCUCAGUUCUACAUCCUGCCUUCAAGUUGCUAGUGUACCCUCUGGAAUGUUCUGCUCAGUCAUCUAAACUCUAUCCACUUUCCAAAGCCUGUUUCAAGUCAGGCUUCCUCCACGCAGCCCCUCUGACUUUCCCACAUGCCUGUGCUUUUAGGAUCUCCAUUAAGAAUGUGAAAAGGCACAUUGAACAGACAUGCUCCUCUUGGUCUGAUGUUCUUUCCAAGUGAGGAUCUUUGAAGCAGAAGAGGAUGGGAUGAGUAGAACUAGGCUGGAAGAAUCUGAGCUCAGGUCAAUAGGACUUGUAGCACUGAGUAGAUGGGGACUUCUGCUUUAGCUGUGGGUAGGGUAGUGUGGCUGGAUUAAUCAAACCCAUGUAGGGCCAUGUGGGGCAUGACCCUCAGGAG
This 661-nucleotide long non-coding RNA is filed under the name Bos taurus (domestic cattle). Its description in RNAcentral is "long non-coding RNA NONBTAT020379". Lineage: Eukaryota; Metazoa; Chordata; Mammalia; Artiodactyla; Bovidae. The record is from RNAcentral.